CUAUACAUGCAGUCGAGCGAAUGGAUUAAGAGCUUGCUCUUAUGAAGUUAGCGGCGGACGGGUGAGUAACACGUGGGUAACCUGCCCAUAAGACUGGGAUAACUCCGGGAAACCGGGGCUAAUACCGGAUAACAUUUUGAACCGCAUGGUUCGAAAUUGAAAGGCGGCUUCGGCUGUCACUUAUGGAUGGACCCGCGUCGCAUUAGCUAGUUGGUGAGGUAACGGCUCACCAAGGCAACGAUGCGUAGCCGACCUGAGAGGGUGAUCGGCCACACUGGGACUGAGACACGGCCCAGACUCCUACGGGAGGCAGCAGUAGGGAAUCUUCCGCAAUGGACGAAAGUCUGACGGAGCAACGCCGCGUGAGUGAUGA
RNAcentral lists this ribosomal RNA (373 nucleotides) under Bacillus sp. UPMLH34. RNAcentral's name for it is "bacterial SSU rRNA". It matches the Rfam family "Bacterial small subunit ribosomal RNA", at positions 49 to 411 of the family's 1533-position model. The record is from RNAcentral. Lineage: Bacteria; Bacillati; Bacillota; Bacilli; Caryophanales; Bacillaceae.